UCUCGAUUGGUCUAGUGGUAAGGAUACCUGCUUGUCAUUUAAUGUGUUGGUUCAUUAGUAGCAAAGCGCAGGUGGCCGGGGUUCGAUUCCCCGAUCGAGAG
Xylaria sp. FL1042 is the source of this 101-nucleotide non-coding RNA. The record is from the annotation of a GenBank genome assembly. NCBI's taxonomy places the organism in Eukaryota, Fungi, Ascomycota, Sordariomycetes, Xylariales, Xylariaceae.